CAGAGGGUGCGAGCGUUGUCCGGAAUCACUGGGCGUAAAGGGCGCGUAGGUGGCGACCCAAGUCGAUGGUGAAAGCUCGCCGCUCAACGGCGAGUCGGCCACCGAUACUGGGUUGCUCGAGCACUGUAGAGGCUAAUGGAAUUCCGGGUGUAGCGGUGGAAUGCGUAGAGAUCCGGAAGAACACCGGUGGCGAAGGCGGUUAGCUGGGCAGUUGCUGACACUGAGGCGCGACAGCGUGGGGAGCAAACAGGAUUAGAUACCCUGGUAGUCCACGCCGUAAACGAUGGGCACUAGAUGCUUGGGGGAGCGACCCCCUGAGUGUCGCCGCUAACGCAUUAAGUGCCCCGCCUGGGGAGUACGGCCGCAAGGCUG
Molecule: ribosomal RNA, 372 nt
Filed under: uncultured organism
Description: bacterial SSU rRNA
Rfam family: Bacterial small subunit ribosomal RNA
Source: RNAcentral